This 428-nucleotide ribosomal RNA is filed under the name uncultured Alphaproteobacteria bacterium. Its description in RNAcentral is "bacterial SSU rRNA". It matches the Rfam family "Bacterial small subunit ribosomal RNA", at positions 958 to 1385 of the family's 1533-position model. The record is from RNAcentral. Lineage: Bacteria; Pseudomonadati; Pseudomonadota; Alphaproteobacteria.
AACGCGAAGAACCUUACCAGCCCUUGACAUGUCCGGGACCGGUCGCAGAGAUGUGACCUUCUCUUCGGAGCCCGGAACACAGGUGCUGCAUGGCUGUCGUCAGCUCGUGUCGUGAGAUGUUGGGUUAAGUCCCGCAACGAGCGCAACCCCCGUCCUUAGUUGCUACCAUUUAGUUGAGCACUCUAAGGAGACUGCCGGUGAUAAGCCGCGAGGAAGGUGGGGAUGACGUCAAGUCCUCAUGGCCCUUACGGGCUGGGCUACACACGUGCUACAAUGGCGGUGACAAUGGGAUGCUAAGGGGCGACCCUUCGCAAAUCUCAAAAAGCCGUCUCAGUUCGGAUUGGGCUCUGCAACUCGAGCCCAUGAAGUUGGAAUCGCUAGUAAUCGUGGAUCAGCACGCCACGGUGAAUACGUUCCCGGGCCUUGUA